RNAcentral lists this ribosomal RNA (828 nucleotides) under Curtobacterium sp. Its description in RNAcentral is "bacterial SSU rRNA". It matches the Rfam family "Bacterial small subunit ribosomal RNA", at positions 301 to 1141 of the family's 1533-position model. Lineage: Bacteria; Bacillati; Actinomycetota; Actinomycetes; Micrococcales; Microbacteriaceae. The record is from RNAcentral.
UGACCGGCCACACUGGGACUGAGACACGGCCCAGACUCCUACGGGAGGCAGCAGUGGGGAAUAUUGCACAAUGGGCGAAAGCCUGAUGCAGCAACGCCGCGUGAGGGAUGACGGCCUUCGGGUUGUAAACCUCUUUUAGUAGGGAAGAAGCGAAAGUGACGGUACCUGCAGAAAAAGCACCGGCUAACUACGUGCCAGCAGCCGCGGUAAUACGUAGGGUGCAAGCGUUGUCCGGAAUUAUUGGGCGUAAAGAGCUCGUAGGCGGUUUGUCGCGUCUGCUGUGAAAUCCCGAGGCUCAACCUCGGGCUUGCAGUGGGUACGGGCAGACUAGAGUGCGGUAGGGGAGAUUGGAAUUCCUGGUGUAGCGGUGGAAUGCGCAGAUAUCAGGAGGAACACCGAUGGCGAAGGCAGAUCUCUGGGCCGUAACUGACGCUGAGGAGCGAAAGCAUGGGGAGCGAACAGGAUUAGAUACCCUGGUAGUCCAUGCCGUAAACGUUGGGCGCUAGAUGUAGGGACCUUUCCACGGUUUCUGUGUCGUAGCUAACGCAUUAAGCGCCCCGCCUGGGGAGUACGGCCGCAAGGCUAAAACUCAAAGGAAUUGACGGGGGCCCGCACAAGCGGCGGAGCAUGCGGAUUAAUUCGAUGCAACGCGAAGAACCUUACCAAGGCUUGACAUACACCGGAAACGGCCAGAGAUGGUCGCCCCCUUGUGGUCGGUGUACAGGUGGUGCAUGGUUGUCGUCAGCUCGUGUCGUGAGAUGUUGGGUUAAGUCCCGCAACGAGCGCAACCCUCGUUCUAUGUUGCCAGCGGGUUAUGCCGGGGACUCA